AGAGUUUGAUCAUGGCUCAGAUUGAACGCUGGCGGCAGGCCUAACACAUGCAAGUCGAACGGUAACAGGAAACAGCUUGCUGUUUCGCUGACGAGUGGCGGACGGGUGAGUAAUGUCUGGGAAACUGCCUGAUGGAGGGGGAUAACUACUGGAAACGGUAGCUAAUACCGCAUAACGUCGCAAGACCAAAGAGGGGGACCUUCGGGCCUCUUGCCAUCGGAUGUGCCCAGAUGGGAUUAGCUUGUUGGUGGGGUAACGGCUCACCAAGGCGACGAUCCCUAGCUGGUCUGAGAGGAUGACCAGCCACACUGGAACUGAGACACGGUCCAGACUCCUACGGGAGGCAGCAGUGGGGAAUAUUGCACAAUGAGCGCAAGCCUGAUGCAGCCAUGCCGCGUGUAUGAAGAAGGCCUUCGGGUUGUAAAGUACUUUCAGCGGGGAGGAAGGGAGUAAAGUUAAUACCUUUGCUCAUUGACGUUACCCGCAGAAGAAGCACCGGCUAACUCCGUGCCAGCAGCCGCGGUAAUACGGAGGGUGCAAGCGUUAAUCGGAAUUACUGGGCGUAAAGCGCACGCAGGCGGUUUGUUAAGUCAGAUGUGAAAUCCCCGGGCUCAACCUGGGAACUGCAUCUGAUACUGGCAAGCUUGAGUCUCGUAGAGGGGGGUAGAAUUCCAGGUGUAGCGGUGAAAUGCGUAGAGAUCUGGAGGAAUACCGGUGGCGAAGGCGGCCCCCUGGACGAAGACUGACGCUCAGGUGCGAAAGCGUGGGGAGCAAACAGGAUUAGAUACCCUGGUAGUCCACGCCGUAAACGAUGUCGACUUGGAGGUUGUGCCCUUGAGGCGUGGCUUCCGGAGCUAACGCGUUAAGUCGACCGCCUGGGGAGUACGGCCGCAAGGUUAAAACUCAAAUGAAUUGACGGGGGCCCGCACAAGCGGUGGAGCAUGUGGUUUAAUUCGAUGCAACGCGAAGAACCUUACCUGGUCUUGACAUCCACGGAAGUUUUCAGAGAUGAGAAUGUGCCUUCGGGAACCGUGAGACAGGUGCUGCAUGGCUGUCGUCAGCUCGUGUUGUGAAAUGUUGGGUUAAGUCCCGCAACGAGCGCAACCCUUAUCCUUUGUUGCCAGCGGUCCGGCCGGGAACUCAAAGGAGACUGCCAGUGAUAAACUGGAGGAAGGUGGGGAUGACGUCAAGUCAUCAUGGCCCUUACGACCAGGGCUACACACGUGCUACAAUGGCGCAUACAAAGAGAAGCGACCUCGCGAGAGCAAGCGGACCUCAUAAAGUGCGUCGUAGUCCGGAUUGGAGUCUGCAACUCGACUCCAUGAAGUCGGAAUCGCUAGUAAUCGUGGAUCAGAAUGCCACGGUGAAUACGUUCCCGGGCCUUGUACACACCGCCCGUCACACCAUGGGAGUGGGUUGCAAAAGAAGUAGGUAGCUUAACCUUCGGGAGGGCGCUUACCACUUUGUGAUUCAUGACUGGGGUGAAGUCGUAACAAGGUAACCGUAGGGGAACCUGCGGUUGGAUCACCU
This 1530-nucleotide ribosomal RNA is filed under the name Escherichia coli. RNAcentral describes it as "bacterial SSU rRNA". It matches the Rfam family "Bacterial small subunit ribosomal RNA". Lineage: Bacteria; Pseudomonadati; Pseudomonadota; Gammaproteobacteria; Enterobacterales; Enterobacteriaceae. The record is from RNAcentral.